Molecule: long non-coding RNA, 275 nt
Organism: Panicum virgatum (switchgrass)
Lineage: Eukaryota; Viridiplantae; Streptophyta; Magnoliopsida; Poales; Poaceae
Exons: 3
Source: RefSeq, a predicted model, not a curated record
UUAGAACAGAUGCUAGAUAUCUUUUCUGGGAGGAGUGCUCCUUUGGACAAUAUCAUGGCUAGGUCCAUGUUGCCACUCAUUUAUUUUGGUGAUGCAUGUGCAUAUGUUUGCCUUCUACUUGGAGUUCCCAGAAGCUGAGUAUGUUGUUUGAGAUACAGUGCAUUUUUAACAUGCAGACAAUCUCGACCAGGUAGCACUGAUAUAAGCAGGUUUAACACAGAAUUUUGCAAGAUGGAUGUUAGCAUAUGUAAAUAUUGGUUGAUGUGGUUUAAGCC